This 497-nucleotide ribosomal RNA is filed under the name uncultured bacterium. Its description in RNAcentral is "partial 16S ribosomal RNA". It matches the Rfam family "Bacterial small subunit ribosomal RNA", at positions 28 to 507 of the family's 1533-position model. The record is from RNAcentral.
GAUGAACGCUGGCGGCGUGCCUAAUACAUGCAAGUCGAGCGAACAGAUGAGGAGCUUGCUCCUCUGACGUUAGCGGCGGACGGGUGAGUAACACGUGGAUAACCUACCUAUAAGACUGGGAUAACUUCGGGAAACCGGAGCUAAUACCGGAUAAUAUAUUGAACCGCAUGGUUCAAUAGUGAAAGACGGUUUUGCUGUCACUUAUAGAUGGAUCCGCGCCGCAUUAGCUAGUUGGUAAGGUAACGGCUUACCAAGGCAACGCUGCGUAGCCGACCUGUGAGGGUGAUCGGCCACACUGGAACUGAGACACGCUCCAGACUCCUACGGGAGGCAGCAGUAGGGAAUCUUCCGCAAUGGGCGAAAGCCUGACGGAGCAACGCCGCGUGAGUGAUGAAGGUCUUCGGAUCGUAAAACUCUGUUAUUAGGGAAGAACAAAUGUGUAAGUAACUAUGCACGUCUUGACGGUACCUAAUCAGAAAGCCACGGCUAACUACGUG